GAUGUUUCUUCUCUUUCUUCAAUUCUGCAUCUUCAGGGUCCUUCUCCAAUCUAUAUCCUACUCCAGAAUUCAAGCAAUUCAGAAUUGUCCUUUUUUUCGUUGACUAUCUGGAGAGGAGUUUUCAGUAGCUCUUCCUGUUGCCAUGUUGAAGACAUCACCCCCAUCCUAUAGACUUUGUAUCAUGAGAUGGAAGAAUCACUGAUUCCUGAAUCAGGGAGGCAGCCAUGAUAGCUGCCCAUCUCCAAGCACCUGGGUUGGAUUAUGAUUCUGAUGAAUUUCCUUUUAAAGUCAUUUGAAUUGGAUUUCUUUCAACUAAGAGUCUUUUCACUGAGCCUCUAAGAUGGUCCCUGUGAGUCUUGCUUCUUGUUGAUCCUGCCUUUGCAUCC
Choloepus didactylus (southern two-toed sloth) is the source of this 386-nucleotide long non-coding RNA. RefSeq lists it as uncharacterized. Lineage: Eukaryota; Metazoa; Chordata; Mammalia; Pilosa; Megalonychidae. The transcript is spliced from 3 exons. The record is from RefSeq and is a predicted model, not a curated record.